AUAACUGCCAGUGGCAGUGUCGUAGCCCAUGAGGUUUAUCCGAGGCGCGAUCGUUGCUCAUUGAAGACUUUUCCCAAUACCCCACCGUGACAGCUUCAGUAUAGUCGGCAUUGGCAAUUUUUGAUGGUCUCUAUGGAGA
This is a non-coding RNA of Callithrix jacchus (white-tufted-ear marmoset), 139 nucleotides long. The record is from Rfam. Lineage: Eukaryota; Metazoa; Chordata; Mammalia; Primates; Cebidae.